This is a long non-coding RNA of Agrilus planipennis (emerald ash borer), 1412 nucleotides long. RefSeq lists it as uncharacterized. The record is from RefSeq and is a predicted model, not a curated record. The transcript is spliced from 9 exons. NCBI's taxonomy places the organism in Eukaryota, Metazoa, Arthropoda, Insecta, Coleoptera, Buprestidae.
UUUCAGCUUUGUACAUUAUAAAAAUCUGUAAAUGUUUGAUAAAGAACCUUGAAAAUGUCAAAUCUUUGAUAAGCAAGCCUGAACAGCACAUCGAAUGCUCAGUUGUCGGCGAUGUUCGAGCGGUGAGGUCAUUUAUUUCUGUUGUGCUUUAAAGCUUGAAUAAAAUCGUACUACCGAUAAAUUUAAAGUUAUUUUUAAUAUAGAGUGCAUCGCAGAGCUUUUACGUUUUUAAUUACUACAUGUGCAGGAUUAUAAGGAUCUUCAAUUAUCGUCCGGGGGCCGAUUUGAAUAUAUUCAAUGGUGACGAUUAUUUUGUGAAAUUCAAGAAUGUCCUUGUAUCAUGAUGGAGUUCCACCACUUUCACUAAGGGUAUUAAAUUGGAUCCUUUUGGUGUCAUAACCCGUACGAAUUUACCCCCUACCAGUUCGUCUAGUUUCAAUGGUGAUUAAUUUGUUUCAAAAUUCAAGGAUGUCCUUAUAUCAUGAUGGGGGUUCCACCACUUUCCACUAAGGGUAACAAAAUGGAUCGUUUUGGCUUCAUUGAAUCCUGCCCUCCACCAAUUCGUCUAGCUUCAAUGGUGAUGAUUGUCUAUCAAAAUUCAGAACAUAUAGUUGUAUCAUGAUGGCGUUCCACCACUUCCACUAAGAGUGAUAAAAUGGGUCAUUUUGGUGACAUAACUGAUAGGAAUUUACUACCUACCAAUUCGUCUGGCUUCAAUGGUGAUGAGUGUCUCUCAAAAUUCAAAAGAUAUCGUUGUAUCAUGUUGGAGUUCCACCACUUCCUCUGAGGGUAAUAAAAUGGGUCAUUUUGGUGUCAUUACUCAUAGGAAUUUGCCACCUACCAAUUUGUCUGGCUUCAAUGGUGAUGAGUGUCUCUCAAAAUUCAAAAGAUAUCGUUGUAUCAUGUUGGAGUUCCACCACUUCCUCUGAGGGUAAUAAAAUGGAUCAUUUUGGUGUCAUUACUCAUAGGAAUUUGCCACCUACCAAUUUGUCUGGCUUCAAUGGUGAUGAGUGUCUCUCAAAAUUCAAAAGAUAUCGUUGUAUCAUGUUGGAGUUCCACCACUUCCUCUGAGGGUAAUAAAAUGGAUCAUUUUGGUGCCAUUACUCAUAGGAAUUUGCCACCUACCAAUUUGUCUGGCUUCAGUGGUAAUGAGUGUCUUUCGAAAUUCGAAUGAUAUCGUUGUAUCACGUUGGAGUUCCACCACUUUCAUUGAGGGCAAUGGAAUGGGUCAUUUUGGUGUCAUACUCAUAGGAAUUUGCCACCUACCAAUUCGUCUGGCUUCAGUGGUGAUUGGUGUCUUCAAUAAUUCAAGGAUGUUCUUGUAUCAUGAUGGAAUUCCACCACUUUCAUUGAGGGCAAUGGAAUGGGUCAUUUUGGUGUAAUACUCAUAGGAAUUUGCAACCUACCAAUUC